This 58-nucleotide transfer RNA is filed under the name Cavia porcellus (domestic guinea pig). It matches the Rfam family "tRNA", at positions 8 to 63 of the family's 71-position model. From Rfam's summary of the family: Transfer RNA (tRNA) molecules are approximately 80 nucleotides in length. Their secondary structure includes four short double-helical elements and three loops (D, anti-codon, and T loops). Lineage: Eukaryota; Metazoa; Chordata; Mammalia; Rodentia; Caviidae. The record is from Rfam by way of RNAcentral.
UAGCUCAGCGGCAUAAGCGCCUGCCUCGCAAGCAGGUAGUCGUGAGUUCGAUCCCCAC